Long non-coding RNA from Pogona vitticeps (central bearded dragon), 523 nucleotides. RefSeq lists it as uncharacterized. The record is from RefSeq and is a predicted model, not a curated record. NCBI's taxonomy places the organism in Eukaryota, Metazoa, Chordata, Lepidosauria, Squamata, Agamidae.
CAUCAUGUCUUGUUAAAGUAACGGGCAUAGUGCGUCAAUAUUUCCUCCCCCAAAACCCCAAUGUAACUGCCUCAAAAGCAACAGUAGAAAAGCAGCAGCAAAAUUUAAGCCAUUCUCCACUGAAGAGAAGCAGAAAAAUCAGACAUAGCAGAAAGGAACUGGGUAAAUGCUUCACAUACAAGCACACAGGCAUACCAGGUAGAGCCGUGUUGUCCUCAAGAGACAAGAAUCUGGAAAGCAGCAGAGGCUCGCUGUCAGCAUAACCCAAAAAGAGAGAGGGAAAGACCCCAGAAGAUGUUUCCUCGAGCAAGAGAUCCAGGGUGGGGAAGUUCAUUCUAACUUGCUGCUUAUGUUGCAUUUGUGUCUCUCCACCAAAAUCACCAGCAGGGCUGGCAAUUGAUGACAACUCCAAAGAGGGAAAAUAUUCAGAAGCAUAACACCAUUACCAGCUGUGUUUAUACCCCGCCAAGGGAAUCAUCUGCCCUAGCCUCUUAUCACUGUUUCAAGGAUACCUACAUAACAA